Molecule: non-coding RNA, 45 nt
Organism: Schistosoma rodhaini
Lineage: Eukaryota; Metazoa; Platyhelminthes; Trematoda; Strigeidida; Schistosomatidae
Source: Rfam
ACCCAGCUGACGAGUCCCAAAUAGAACGAGACACGUUUCCUGGAU